This 6449-nucleotide long non-coding RNA is filed under the name Gallus gallus (chicken). Its description in RNAcentral is "lncRNA (ENSGALG00010014698.1)". The stretch from base 889 to 970 matches the Rfam family "mir-181 microRNA precursor family". Lineage: Eukaryota; Metazoa; Chordata; Aves; Galliformes; Phasianidae. The record is from RNAcentral.
GAAAAAAGGAAAAAUGUCGACUUGAGAAAAGCACAGCUUCCAAUCCCCACCCACCAGCUUCAGUCAAAGGGAUGACUUCAGUCCCUUUCUUAACUAAUCCUGUCACUGUAAAAUCCUACAGUCAUUCUUCCACACAUAAAGGGAAAACGGACUCACUAGGAGGACCUAGACUCUUUCAGCUUGAACUGUUAACCAAUGGUGGAAAUGCAAGAAUGCUGAAGUUGUGCCUUCAGAGCCAAUAGAGUGGAUUUGUGUGUCCCACAUGACUGUGUUUCCCCUGUCUUUCACAUGGGCAGUAUUUAGUUCAAUUCAGAACUGCAGAUAGUAUAGCACGCAGAGCAGCAAUGGGAUGUCUGAGCACAAGUGGCUGACUUCCAGGCGACUUCAAGAAGCACAUUUGCACAUUUAUCCUGAAUUAAACUGGAAUUCUGCACCCUUGACAUCCUCCUACUCUCCUGGUGUCUGCGGAAGGAAACAGCGACCUGCACAGCACAACAAAACUACAAAUCAUCAGUGAUCUACAGACAAGCAAACGAAGUGAGCUGAGGGCAAUUUAACUACCGCCUUCUGUGUCAGUUCCCCAGAAGUCAAUGAGGCAUACUAUCGGGUCUCCAAGAGAGAGAAAGAGAGAGAAGUUUCGGCAAGUUUUUAUUGUGUGUUAUAAAGAGAGAAAGACAUGUGAGAAGCUGCCAGCUCCAUGCAUGAAGAAGGAAAUGGGAUAGACAGAGAAGGGUGCUGGUACUGACAUUUAAGGAUGCUGUCAAGUCAAUGGAGUUCUCUUGUAGUGGUUGCUUCAGUGAACAUUCAACGCUGUCGGCCUUCACACCGAAGAUAGAAACCUAACCAGCACAUGAGGUUUCUCCCCUACUCUGCCACGCUUUACAAAAAAGGUCACAAUCAACAUUCAUUGCUGUCGGUGGGUUUAACUAUGUGGACAAGCUCACUGAACAAUGAAUGCAACUGUGGCCCCACAUUUUACAGGUGCAUUUGGGAGGAAUGUCAGCUCUGAAAGGAAUAGUGAGAAACAGACAUUUCUUAUAGGUUACGUUUUUCUGGUCAAAAAUUUGUUAAGGAUAUUCAAUUAACUCUUCUUUGUUAUUAAAUGUAUUUAACUAUGUUGACUAAAAAAAAAAAGCACUGCAUUUUUCUGGAAUAUCACCCUCACAGGGUUCAGCACCUCUGAAACUGAAAUAAUGCUUGUUCAGUAUGUAUGUGGAAAAAAGUAAUAAUAUAGAGAACUUGGUAUAUAUGUACUCCUCAGGACUACGCAUAAGAGGAAAGAGUAUUUAAAUGUUAAAUCUUAAUUAACUAGGUAUUAUGGAAUAGUUUACAGAAGUCUCUUCUAUACUUGUCAAGACAAAACCAGAACUUUUCUAGUGGACAGGUAACAGAAAUAGAUGUAUACCCACUAUCAAAUAGUUAAAUCGUAAAAUUACUCUAAACUUCGGUACUUGUGUCACACUCAGUAUUGCUAACACUAAUGAAAAAAUAAAAGUGUAAUUAAAGCUCACUGUUCUGUCCUUAUUUUCUUACAACCUUUGUUUAACCCAGCUGGAAAAAACAGAGCCCAGCCUACAUUUCUACCUUUCAGAAGUCAUCCAAGGUAAGUGCAAGCCUUCACACAGCACAGUUUCAAUAUUCCGCAGUAGAGUUGCUUCUAACAUUUAGGAAAUCACACGACGUUCCUAGUUUCUCCUGAUAGACCCUCUUAAAAGCUGGGGUCUGUUAACAAUACUUCAGUUUGAUUAUCUACACAGUAACUGGAAUAGGAUACAACCAUCAGGGCUAUCAUGGGAGGAAACAUCUGUACCUGCUUUGUGAACCGUAUAUUAACAGCCUAGCUAAAUAAUAACAGUUUAAGUAAUCAAAGAGAUCAGUCCUCAAUCACAUGCAAGAUUAUAUUUGAAUAACUGAAUUUUUAAUGAAAAGAGAGGCACACUACUGAAUUAAAAUCAAUGGCUGAAAGAAGUGCGUUGUUUUUUUCAUUCUGAUAUUUACUACCAAAUAAUCUACAGAAUGUACUGAGGCCAGGGGCAGCAGUUAAGUACUAAUAGGAGGAGUGGCUAUGGAUACGUGACUUCUCAGCGACACUGCAUAGAGAACCCUAGGUUCUAUCUUAAAGUUCACUCGUUUCUACACAGCAAUGAGUACUUGAAUAACUAUCAAAUUAUAUAUAUGGAUCACAAUACAAGCAAGUUAUAUAUUCUAUCUAGAAGGACAAACUUACAUGUUCAGUUGCAGCUACUUCAUACUUGCCUAAUUUCUGCAUUUAUUACUUUUACUAACGUGACUUAAUUGUGUUAUGCAUUAAUAAACACUGAAGAUGUUACUGAAGUUUGUGGAAUUAAGCAGCAGUGGAAAGAACCAGCAUCCUAGCAUGUUAUCACCUUCAAGCACAACAGAAGAAAAUACAAAAAUAAACCAUACUGCAACUGAUAAUGGUUGAACAAUACAAUUGUUGUAGGGACACAGGAUCCAGUGCAAGAAAAAGGUUAGUUAUAGGGUAGGGGGGAAGGUGAGGGGUUGAUGGCACUCUCUCAAAAUGCACAGAUGUUUUACCUUUUAGAAAAUAUCUACAGUAAUAUUGUUGCCUUGCGUAAGUUGUGUCAGUGAUUUUAAUCAUAGAAUCGCUAAGGUUGGAAAAGACCCACAGGAUCAUCCAGUCCAACCAUUCGCCCUUCACCAAUGGUUCUCACUAAACCAUGUCCCUCAACACAACAUCCAAUCACUCUUUGAACACCACCAGGGUCGGUGACUCCACCACCUCUCUGGGCAGCCCAUUCCAGUGCCUGACCACCCUUUCAGAGAAGUAGUAUUUCCUAACGUCCAGCCUGAACCUUCCAUGGCGCAGCUUAAAGCCAUUGAAGCCAUAAUCACGCUUUCAUAUCAAGAUUAAGAAUCUCCAUAGUGUACAAAUACACAUUAUUUCAUACAGUUUGAUAAUUUUAUAUCUCCAUUAAUUUACAGGAUGCUCAUGGGCAAAGCAAUACCACACCUGAUAAGAGAGACUGCUUUUCACACACAUCCUUUACAUAAUGAAGCAAAAGUGAUCCCCAUUCAGCAACAGUAGCUGUGAAACUGAAGUUCCUUGGUCAUUUUCAGGGUUGUUAGUUUUUUUUUUUGUUGUUGUUGUUGUUAAUAUGAUACAUCCAUGCUCAAUACAGUAUCCGUGGGCUACAGAGACCUUCCAGAAAAUUGCUCCUUGGUAUCACUGUAAAUAAUUCACUCACAACAAUAUUUUUAGGUCAAGCAUAUCAAAAUUACAGGAAAUGUAAUGGACCUUGACAUAAUAGGAGCACUAGUUUCAAAGCAGUGAAGGAGGAGGAGAAGGAACAUACUUUCCACACACAGCUCAGUCACAGUUUCCCAGUGUCCACAAUACUGUGCUUGAAACAGGAGAGGCAGUACCAAGUGGUUGCUGCUAAGUUUGGAGUCACUGAGGUUUUACUUAACUCCAGACAUAGUUCUGUUUUUCCUGACUUCUGGAGCAAAAUGGGUGAAAGCAGUUCAGAUCCAGCAGUUUCUGCGUCAAGCCUCUAACUCCUGUUUACCAAGCACAGAAAGACAUUCCACCUUACCUUUCAAACUACAACACAAUGAAUACCUAUGAAAACCAUACGUGAUUCAGGACUACAGCAAAAUGAAAACAUUACACUGUCCAGAGCAGACUAAAAACACCACAAUAACAUUUCUUGCUUUACAGAUGGUAAAGAGAAGAAAUACAGUAGAAGUUAAAUAUAGAAAUAGUUUGUAUCUGUAUGUAGUAGUCUGAACUGGAAGUAGUAUCUAGAUCUUGCAUUCGAGCCAUGCGUCUUACACUGGAAGAAGGAGUAUUGUAAUUUUGACAUGAAAACCGUAUUUUCCUUCUUGCUGAUCGCCCCUUUUUCCUAAUCAAAUGAUAUUUAUUUUUUCUCUCUAGAGUUAUCAUCCACUCCAGAUUAAUAUCUGUAUCUUGCCCUCACUUUCUUCUAUUCUUCUGUAUAAUUCUCUUAACUUCUUCAAAAAAAAAUUAGUCUUCCUGAGCUUCCUCUUUUAGCACAAGUGCCAGAAAUGCAGACUGUGUUCCAAAUAGCCCAGCCAAAGCUAGCUGAAGUAGUCUGAUGUCUCCCUAUUUUACAAGGAACUGCUGAUCAUUUUCAGCCAAAAAUAGCAUUUGUAAUGGCACCACACAGUUAACACAUUUAAAUUUAUCUAACUUUAUUCCACAGAUAUAUUAGUGUCCACAAGUUUUUUCCUAAUUUGAAGUAGGUUAUUUCAUCCCCCUGAAAUGCAACACUUGCCAUUUUUUUUUUAUCUAUUACGUAAUUUCUGCAACAUCCAUUGAUUACAGCAUCGUGGUCAUAUUUUCACAGGAAUUAAUUAGAGACUUCUUGUAGGUUUACAUCUGAAAAAAAUACAUCUGAAAAAAUAUAAGGAAAGAUCCAGGGGUAGGAGCUCCAACCCACAGAAGCCAUGAAUUACAACAGAAAUUUUGUCUAUACUUGACAAGUAAAUCAGAACUGAAUCCCCUAGCUCUGCAGCCAGAGCCAGAACACGCAUAUACAACACAUAGACUUUUCCUGGUUUUGUUCCAUGAGAUACAGUAGCGCCCAAGCUAGCCCUAGUAUUUUUUUUAUUGUUUUAAUAAAAGAAUUACCUAUCAAGUUUGUAAAUAGGCUAUCAUGAGACCUGAAAGUGUAACUUAUUGUGCAGUGUUUUUUUGUUUGUUUGUUUUCAUUAUUCUCUAUUAGAAAUGUUACUCUAGGUCUUGACAAUGAAAAGACAAGUCCAAAACGGACCAGAUACCGCAGUUGUAUGAUACCACAGUUCAGAACAGAACUGGCAAAGAGGCAAGGUACCUGGAAAAUAGCAUUCUCUUGGCCAUUAAGAUAGGAGAACUUGCACUCAAAAUAAACUGCAGUAUAUAUACGCUAUUUAAACUGUGAUAUCACCUGUAAUUAAUGGCAAGCUACUGCAAUAAUCACAUGCUAUUAAGCUAUUUGAUUGCCUGGAAAUGCUAUUUAGUAAUUAAACAGUUAAAAUACUUUAUCAUAGACUUUUUGAAACACUGAAGCAAAAAAAAAGAUACACAAAUAUUAAUUUUAGCUAGCAGGAGAUGAGUCCAGGUGGUUGCCCUCUAAAGUCAACAUCACCAUCUGAUGUGUAAAACACUCCUAAUUAACAUAAAGUACACCCUGUGCUAAUUAUUGUGCUCGCCUCCAAAUAAUGAGCCAUAACAAGCCUAGAGUUCAAGAUGAUAUAUUUACAUUUAAAUGCCAUGCACUUCACCAUCCUGUAUCAAUAUGGCCCUGGUUAACACACUGACAAAAAAAUGAAAUUACUGCCCCCACCGCCCUGCAGACUAGGGAAGCACAAACAGCUAAACAGAUACUAGAACUAAAAGAACUUUCAGACAGACCUUCAGGUUGUAAUUGUGGAAGGCAACAGGGAAAAGCAGUGCUUCAAAGAUAGUGGCCAGCUGUGGUCUACAGAACAUCGUAAGCAAAGUGGAGUCUCUUCAGGAAGAUAUCCAUACAUCUCCAAAACAAUUUCGGGAGAAUAUUCCAGAAGUUCACAUGGAUUGUGGUUUGCUAACUAGUGAAUUCAGGUUCUCCGCUGGUUUUAGUCAGCAUACUUUUGAUUUCAGUGGAAUUACACCACUAUAUACAGUGUGAGGGUUUGACAAACAAACAUGCAAGGGAUAUAAAAGCAGCACAGUCCUGCACAUCCUACACUAGAAAUGCAGUCAGAGGUAAAAGUCACUCUUUGGAAGAAGGGAGGGAAGCAAAAGAACAGAUAUUUGAAAAGCAAUCACUCCUACCUACAGAAAGAGCAUUUCUACCUGCUGUGGGUGGUCGUGGACACAGCACUCGGACACCUAACUCCUCCAUUCUUGCAGGUUACAGUUUUGCAGGUACAAAUACAGAAUUUCAAAACACAACAUGCAUAGAGUAUUUUGGGGCAGAAAUAUAACACCCACGUUAUGAUAAUUUGGCCUUUGCCACCACAUGACGGUCUCCUUCACUUCAUGUAUCUUGAGGUACGUGGGUGGCAAAGAACUGACAGCAUAUUUUUGUCUAAAGAUGGCUCCCACAGCACGAGUGUACAUACUGGAAGCAAUGGCAGUUUGUUUCCUUCCUCCCUUAACACUGUGCUCUUUACUUGAGUUUCCAUCAUUUCUAUACAGAGCUAGUAACACUAAACCAUUCACCGAGGAGAGGGUUAAAAAAAGCCAAAGCAAAAAAAAAAAAAAAAAAUCACCGAGUCUUCAAAUUAUUCUCUGUCACAAUAUCCAGAUUUUAUGAAUCCUGAACCAUCUCCUCAGGGUGCCUAGCAGCACCUUUCUCUGGCCUAGAACUAAGCUCUGACUUCAGAUUUGUAUCAGCCUUUACAAGAGACGAUCAUUUUCAGCAAAGUUUCAGGCACUGCAGAUUUAUGUACAAAGACUUCUAACUGCUGCCUGGAUGUGC